Molecule: ribosomal RNA, 403 nt
Filed under: uncultured bacterium
Lineage: Bacteria
Description: bacterial SSU rRNA
Rfam family: Bacterial small subunit ribosomal RNA
Source: RNAcentral
UUUUGGACAAUGGACGCAAGUCUGAUCCAGCCAUUCCGCGUGCAGGACGAAGGCCUUCGGGUUGUAAACUGCUUUUGUACGGAACGAAAAAGCUCUUAUUAAUACUAGGAGUCCAUGACGGUACCGUAAGAAUAAGCACCGGCUAACUACGUGCCAGCAGCCGCGGUAAUACGUAGGGUGCAAGCGUUAAUCGGAAUUACUGGGCGUAAAGCGUGCGCAGGCGGUUAUAUAAGACAGAUGUGAAAUCCCCGAGCUUAACUUGGGAACUGCAUUUGUGACUGUAUAGCUAGAGUACGGCAGAGGGGGAUGGAAUUCCGCGUGUAGCAGUGAAAUGCGUAGAUAUGCGGAGGAACACCGAUGGCGAAGGCAAUCCCCUGGGCCUGUACUGACGCUCAUGCACGAA